GACGAACGCUGGCGGCGUGCUUAACACAUGCAAGUCGAACGGAAAGGCCUGCUUUCCCUUGUGGAUUGCGGGUACUCGAGUGGCGAACGGGUGAGUAACACGUGAGUGAUCUGCCCCCAACUUGGGUAUAAGCCUGGGAAACUGGGUCUAAUUCCCGAUAGGACUGCAGGGUGGUGCCUGUGGUGGAAAACGAUUUUCUAGUGGUUGGGGAUGAGCUCGCGGCCUAUCAGCUUGUUGGUGGGGUAAUGGCCUACCAAGGCGGCGACGGGUAGCCGGCCUGAGAGGGUGGACGGCCACAUUGGGACUGAGAUACGGCCCAGACUCCUACGGGAGGCAGCAGUGGGGAAUAUUGCACAAUGGGCGGAAGCCUGAUGCAGCGACGCCGCGUGGGGGAUGACGGCCUUCGGGGUGUAAACUCCUUUCGACCGCGAGGAAGCCACCUGGUUGGAAGGGUGGUGACGGUAGUGGUAGAAGAAGCACCGGCUAACUACGU
RNAcentral lists this ribosomal RNA (493 nucleotides) under uncultured bacterium. RNAcentral's name for it is "partial 16S ribosomal RNA". It matches the Rfam family "Bacterial small subunit ribosomal RNA", at positions 28 to 506 of the family's 1533-position model. The record is from RNAcentral.